GUGCUCAUUUCUGCAGCACAUAUACUAAAAUUAAAAUGAUACAGAGAAGGUUAGCAUGGCUCCUGUGCAAAGAUAACACACAAAUUCAUGAAGCGUUCCAUAUUUCU
This is a small nuclear RNA of Manis javanica (Malayan pangolin), 107 nucleotides long. Lineage: Eukaryota; Metazoa; Chordata; Mammalia; Pholidota; Manidae. The record is from RefSeq and is a predicted model, not a curated record.